AAGGGUAUAGUUCAAGUGGUAGAGCACAUGCCUAGUGCACAAGAGGUCCUGGGUUCAAUCCCCAGUACCUCCU
This is a transfer RNA of Camelus ferus (Wild Bactrian camel), 73 nucleotides long. It matches the Rfam family "tRNA". From Rfam's summary of the family: Transfer RNA (tRNA) molecules are approximately 80 nucleotides in length. Their secondary structure includes four short double-helical elements and three loops (D, anti-codon, and T loops). Further hydrogen bonds mediate the characteristic L-shaped molecular structure. tRNAs have two regions of fundamental functional importance: the anti-codon, which is responsible for specific mRNA codon recognition, and the 3' end, to which the tRNAs corresponding amino acid is attached (by aminoacyl-tRNA synthetases). tRNAs cope with the degeneracy of the genetic code in two manners: having more than one tRNA (with a specific anti-codon) for a particular amino acid; and 'wobble' base-pairing, i.e. permitting non-standard base-pairing at the 3rd anti-codon position. NCBI's taxonomy places the organism in Eukaryota, Metazoa, Chordata, Mammalia, Artiodactyla, Camelidae. The record is from Rfam.